Molecule: ribosomal RNA, 440 nt
Filed under: uncultured bacterium
Lineage: Bacteria
Description: bacterial SSU rRNA
Rfam family: Bacterial small subunit ribosomal RNA
Source: RNAcentral
AGUCGAGUGCGCAGUUUUCUGUAGCAAUACAGGGAAUGGGCGCACGGCGCACCGGGUUGAGUUAACACGUGGGUAAAUCUGCCCUCGACAUCGGGAUAGCCCGGGGAAACCCGGAUUAAUACCGAAUAGCCCCAUCCGUUUUCGGAGCGGCUGGAAAAGGUAGCUUUGGCCUCUGGUCGAGGAGGAGCCCGCGGCGGAUUAGCUUGUUGGUGAGGUAAUGGCCCACCAAGGCGACGAUCCGUAGCUGGUCUGAGAGGACGAUCAGCCACACUGGGACUGAGACACGGUCCAGACUCCAUACGGGAGGCAGCAGUGGGGAAUCUUGCGCAAUGGGCGAAAGCCUGACGCAGCGACGCCGCGUGCGGGAAGAAGGCCUUCGGGUUGUAAAGCUCUUUAGUCCGGAGCGAAAAGGUUACGGUGAAUAUCCGUGACUACUGACG